UAGAUAAACAGUACCCUCACUACUCUCCAAGGAGGCAAACUGCCCUUCUCUGCAACAUACAUGAUAAGUGCAUGUAGAAUUUAAAAUCCACUACUGAAAAGAAGUAGAUAUCUCAUCAAUUAUCUCCUGAACAUCAUCAUCUGACUCGCUAUUGGUCGUGACUGUAGUAGCCCUCUUCCAAUCCUUGAGUUGAGGGUAAUGUCUGGCUAGAUGCCCCAACUCAUCACACUGAUAACAUCCGGUCUUGCUUAAGUCUCUCAUCCUAGACUUGGACCGCCCUCAUCAUAAUCUCUUAUCACUUUGUCUACCACCUCUUACUCCUCCAGAAAUCACCAAAGUUGAGCAGCCGUCUGAGCUCGAAGCUGAGUUCUUCCUCCUGAUAACCUCAUUCUCAAGAAUCAUCAUGGUGAUUCAUCCAUCUUGAUGGUGCUCUUCCCCUCUAGAAGAGCUGUCAUCAAAGACUUAUAUGAAGGGGAAAGCGACACUAGCAAGAUCAGCAUCCUGAUCUUCUCCUUAACUUUCUCACCA
This 528-nucleotide long non-coding RNA is filed under the name Elaeis guineensis (African oil palm). Its description in RNAcentral is "long non-coding RNA (EGUI_LNC063035)". Lineage: Eukaryota; Viridiplantae; Streptophyta; Magnoliopsida; Arecales; Arecaceae. The record is from RNAcentral.